RNAcentral lists this ribosomal RNA (196 nucleotides) under uncultured bacterium. Its description in RNAcentral is "partial 16S ribosomal RNA". It matches the Rfam family "Bacterial small subunit ribosomal RNA", at positions 337 to 525 of the family's 1533-position model. The record is from RNAcentral.
UCCUACGGGAGGCAGCAGUGGGGAAUUUUGGACAAUGGGCGCAAGCCUGAUCCAGCAAUGCCGCGUGAGUGAAGAAGGCCUUCGGGUUGUAAAGCUCUUUUGUCAGGGAAGAAACGGUGAGGGCUAAUAUCCCUUGCUAAUGACGGUACCUGAAGAAUAAGCACCGGCUAACUACGUGCCAGCACCCGCGGUAAUA